AUUGAACGCUGGCGGCAGGCCUAACACAUGCAAGUCGAGCGGAUGAAGGGAGCUUGCUCCUGGAUUCAGCGGCGGACGGGUGAGUAAUGCCUAAGAAUCUGCCUGGUAGUGGGGGAUAACGUCCGGAAACGGGCGCUAAUACCGCAUACGUCCUGAGGGAGAAAGUGGGGGAUCUUCGGUCCUCACGCUAUCAGAUGAGCCUAGGUCGGAUUAGCUAGUUGGUGGGGUAAAGGCCUACCAAGGCGACGAUCCGUAACUGGUCUGAGAGGAUGAUCAGUCACACUGGAACUGAGACACGGUCCAGACUCCUACGGGAGGCAGCAGUGGGGAAUAUUGGACAAUGGGCGAAAGCCUGAUCCAGCCAUGCCGCGUGUGUGAAGAAGGUCUUCGGAUUGUAAAGCACUUUAAGUUGGGAGGAAGGGCAGUAAGUUAAUACCUUGCUGUUUUGACGUUACCAACAGAAUAAGCACCGGCUAACUUCGUG
RNAcentral lists this ribosomal RNA (484 nucleotides) under uncultured bacterium. RNAcentral describes it as "partial 16S ribosomal RNA". It matches the Rfam family "Bacterial small subunit ribosomal RNA", at positions 30 to 507 of the family's 1533-position model. The record is from RNAcentral.